GAUGAAGAACGUAGCGAAAUGCGAUACGUAAUGUGAAUUGCAGAAUCCAGUGAAUCAUCGAAUCUUUGAACGCACAUUGCGCCCGCCAGUAUUCUGGCGGGCAUGCCUGUCCGAGCGUCAUUAUAACCACUCAAGCUCUCGCUUGGUAUUGGAGUUCGCGAUCUCGCGGCUCCUAAAAUCAGUGGCGGUGCCUGUCGGCUCUACGCGUAGUAAUACUCCUCGCGAUUGAGUCCGGUAGGUUUACUUGCCAGCAACCCCCAAUUUUUACAGGUUGACCUCGGAUCAGGUAGGGAUACCCGCUGAACUUAAGCAUAUCAAUAAGCGGAGGA
RNAcentral lists this unclassified non-coding RNA (329 nucleotides) under soil metagenome. RNAcentral's name for it is "partial contains 5.8S ribosomal RNA, internal transcribed spacer 2, and large subunit ribosomal RNA". The stretch from base 1 to 120 matches the Rfam family "5.8S ribosomal RNA", at positions 35 to 154 of the family's 154-position model. The record is from RNAcentral.